This 51-nucleotide ribosomal RNA is filed under the name Betaproteobacteria bacterium. RNAcentral's name for it is "partial 23S ribosomal RNA". Lineage: Bacteria; Pseudomonadati; Pseudomonadota; Betaproteobacteria. The record is from RNAcentral.
CGUUAAGCUAACCAGUACUAAUUGCCCGUGAGGCUUGACCCUAUAACUUUG